Molecule: ribosomal RNA, 376 nt
Filed under: uncultured bacterium
Lineage: Bacteria
Description: bacterial SSU rRNA
Rfam family: Bacterial small subunit ribosomal RNA
Source: RNAcentral
GACGAACGCUGGCGGCGUGCUUAACACAUGCAAGUCGAGCGGUAAGGCCCUUUCGGGGGUACACGAGCGGCGAACGGGUGAGUAACACGUGGGUGACCUGCCCUCAGCUCUGGGAUAAGCCCGGGAAACUGGGUCUAAUACUGGAUAUGACUCCAUGACGCAUGUUGUGGGGUGGAAAGCCUUGUGCGGCUGAGGAUGGGCCCGCGGCCUAUCAGCUUGUUGGUGGGGGAUGGCCUACCAAGGCGACGACGGGUAGCCGGCCUGAGAGGGCGACCGGCCACACUGGGACUGAGACACGGCCCAGACUCCUACGGGAGGCAGCAGGUGGGGAAUCUUGCGCAAGUGGGCGAAAGCCUGACGCAGCGACGCCGCGUGA